GUUUACGGCCAUACCACCCUGAACAUGCCCUAUCUCGUCUGAUCUUAGAAGCUAAGCAGGGUCUGGACUGGUUAUUACUUGAAUGGAAGAAAAAUAGCAGUGGUAUGAA
Molecule: ribosomal RNA, 109 nt
Organism: Mesocricetus auratus (golden hamster)
Lineage: Eukaryota; Metazoa; Chordata; Mammalia; Rodentia; Cricetidae
Source: Ensembl